UACGGGGGGAGCAAGCGUUGUUCGGAUUUACUGGGCGUAAAGGGCGCGUAGGCGGUCGUGACAAGUCACUUGUGAAAUCUCCGGGCUUAACUCGGAACGGUCAAGUGAUACUGUCGGACUAGAGUACAGAAGGGGCAACUGGAAUUCUCGGUGUAGCGGUGAAAUGCGUAGAGAUCGGGCGGAACACCAGCGGCGAAGGCGGCAUCCUGGUCCUGUUCUGACGCUGAGGCGCGAGAGCGUGGGGAGCGAACUGG
Molecule: ribosomal RNA, 254 nt
Filed under: uncultured bacterium
Lineage: Bacteria
Description: partial 16S ribosomal RNA
Rfam family: Bacterial small subunit ribosomal RNA
Source: RNAcentral